This 195-nucleotide non-coding RNA is filed under the name Francisella marina. RNAcentral describes it as "6S RNA". It matches the Rfam family "6S / SsrS RNA". From Rfam's summary of the family: E. coli 6S RNA was the first non coding RNA to be sequenced, but its function was unknown until recently. It consists of 184 nucleotides that fold into an extended hairpin structure with a large single-stranded internal bulge. Lineage: Bacteria; Pseudomonadati; Pseudomonadota; Gammaproteobacteria; Thiotrichales; Francisellaceae. The record is from RNAcentral. RNAcentral also lists the same sequence under 1 other name.
AGUUGUCUGGGUUAUUGGUGAUUUAGCUACAAUCUUGAGCCGAUACUACUUAGAAUAGGGAGUCUUGGUAUCCCAACUAGAGAGCAAGCUUUGGUGCCUAGCACUUACAAAGAAGCCCAACGUUGAGAUUAUGACACCCACUUGAUACCAAAUGGGAUCAAGAAUAUUGGGCUAAAACGGUACUCCGGACAACUA